GACGAACGCUGGCGGCGUGCCUAAUACAUGCGAGUUGAGCGCUGAAGGUUGGUACUUGUACCAACUGGAUGAGCAGCGAACGGGUGAGUAACGCGUGGGGAAUCUGCCUUUGAGCGGGGGACAACAUUUGGAAACGAAUGCUAAUACCGCAUAAAAACUUUAAACACAAGUUUUAAGUUUGAAAGAUGCAAUUGCAUCACUCAAAGAUGAUCCCGCGUUGUAUUAGCUAGUUGGUGAGGUAAAGGCUCACCAAGGCGAUGAUACAUAGCCGACCUGAGAGGGGGAUCGGCCACAUUGGGACUGAGACACGGCCCAAACUCCUACGGGAGGCAGCAGUAGGGAAUCUUCGGCAAUGGACGAAAGUCUGACCGAGCAACGCCGCGUGAGGGAAGAAGGGUUUCGGAUCGUAAAACUCUGUUGGUAGAGAAGAACGUUGGUGAGAGUGGAAAGCUCAUCAAGUGACGGUAACUACCCAGAAAGGGACGGCUAACUACGUG
RNAcentral lists this ribosomal RNA (497 nucleotides) under uncultured bacterium. RNAcentral's name for it is "partial 16S ribosomal RNA". It matches the Rfam family "Bacterial small subunit ribosomal RNA", at positions 28 to 507 of the family's 1533-position model. The record is from RNAcentral.